GCCGGUGUGGCGGAAUGGUAGACGCAAGCGACUCAAAAUCGCUCGCCGCGAGGCGUGCUAGUUCGACUCUAGUCACCGGCA
Molecule: transfer RNA, 81 nt
Filed under: Gloeobacterales cyanobacterium ES-bin-313
Lineage: Bacteria; Bacillati; Cyanobacteriota; Cyanophyceae; Gloeobacterales
Rfam family: tRNA
About the family: Transfer RNA (tRNA) molecules are approximately 80 nucleotides in length. Their secondary structure includes four short double-helical elements and three loops (D, anti-codon, and T loops).
Source: Rfam by way of RNAcentral